Molecule: ribosomal RNA, 253 nt
Filed under: uncultured bacterium
Lineage: Bacteria
Description: partial 16S ribosomal RNA
Rfam family: Bacterial small subunit ribosomal RNA
Source: RNAcentral
GACGAACCGUGCGAACGUUGUUCGGAAUCACUGGGCUUAAAGGGCGCGUAGGUGGCUACUCAAGCGCGCGGUGAAAGCCCGGGGCUCAACCCCGGGUCGGCCGUGCGGACUGGGAGGCUCGAGCACUGUAGGGGCGGGUGGAAUUCCGGGUGUAGCGGUGGAAUGCGUAGAUAUCGAGAGGAACACCUGCGGCGAAGGCGGGUUGCUGGGCUGACACUGACGCUGAUGCGCGAAAGCCAGGGGAGCGAACGGG